This 460-nucleotide ribosomal RNA is filed under the name uncultured bacterium. RNAcentral describes it as "partial 16S ribosomal RNA". It matches the Rfam family "Bacterial small subunit ribosomal RNA", at positions 338 to 795 of the family's 1533-position model. The record is from RNAcentral.
CCUACGGGAGGCAGCAGUGAGGAAUAUUGGUCAAUGGUCGGGAGACUGAACCAGCCAAGCCGCGUGAGGGAUGAAGGUACAGAGUAUCGUAAACCUCUUUUGUCAGGGAACAAAGGCGGGGACGUGUCCCCGGAUGAGUGUACCUGAAGCAAAAGCAUCGGCUAACUCCGUGCCAGCAGCCGCGGUAAUACGGAGGAUGCGAGCGUUAUCCUGAUGUAUUGGGUUUAAAGGGUGCGCAGGCGGUUCGUUAAGUCAGGGGUCAAAGCCCGGGGCGUAACCCCCGGCCGGCCGUUGAAACUGGCAGUCGCGAGUUGGAGAGAGGUAUGCGGAAUGCGCGGUGUAGCGGUGAAAUGCAUAGAUAUCGCGCAGAACUCCGAUUGCGAAGGCAGCAUGCCGGCUCCACACUGACGCUGAGGCACGAAAGCGUGGGUAUCGAACAGGAUUAGAUACCCCUGUAGUC